This 550-nucleotide ribosomal RNA is filed under the name uncultured bacterium. RNAcentral describes it as "bacterial SSU rRNA". It matches the Rfam family "Bacterial small subunit ribosomal RNA", at positions 9 to 531 of the family's 1533-position model. The record is from RNAcentral.
GAGUUUGAUCAUGGCUCAGGACGAACGCUGGCGGCGUGCUUAACACAUGCAAGUCGAGGGAGGACGGCCCCUUCGGGGGUCGAGCCGACCGGCGGACGGGAGCGUAACACGUGAGGAACCUGCCUCGGAGUGGGGAAUAACCACGAGAAAUCGUGGCUAAUUCCGCAUGAUGCAGCGGCUCCGCAUGGAGACAGUUGUUAAAGAUCGCCUCUGCUUCGCAAGCGAUCGCCUCGAGAUGGCCUCGCGGCCUAUCAGCUAGUUGGUGAGGUAAUGGCUCACCAAGGCGACGACGGGUAGCCGGCCUUAGAGGGUGUCCGGCCUCAUUGGGACUGAGACACGGCCCAGACUCCUACGGGAGGCAGCAGUGAGGAAUCUUGCGCAAUGGGCGAAAGCCUGACGCAGCGACGCCGCGUGAGGGAUGAAGGCCUUCGGGUCGUAAACCUCUGUCAGGGGGAAAGAACCCGUCUCCGGUGAACAACCGGAGGCGCUGACGGUACCCCCAGAGGAAGCACCGGCUAACUCCGUGCCAGCAGCCGCGGUAAUACAAGGG